UGACAACAUAUAUGUGAGCAGCAGGGGCAUUUCUCUUUUAGCACCAACUAGGAACCUGGAGCAUCCAGCUCUCCAGUCAGAAAUCUGGCUCCGACAUCAGUUGUAAAAAGAUGCUGCGAAAGUACUAAACCAAAACAUGAAUCCAGAAGAUCUGAAGAAUUAAUAUGCUCCAAGAAUAACGGGAAGGUAUUUGAAGUUGCCUCAGAGGCAAAGGCGGAAAUCUUCCGAUAAUUCUGCCGCCACGACUUGAACCGUGCGCGAGGCGAGCUCGAAACAAACAUCACAUCUAAAUUAAAAAAAAAAAAAAAA
Suricata suricatta (meerkat) is the source of this 309-nucleotide long non-coding RNA. RefSeq lists it as uncharacterized. The transcript has 3 exons. NCBI's taxonomy places the organism in Eukaryota, Metazoa, Chordata, Mammalia, Carnivora, Herpestidae. The record is from RefSeq and is a predicted model, not a curated record.